This 301-nucleotide ribosomal RNA is filed under the name uncultured bacterium. RNAcentral's name for it is "partial 16S ribosomal RNA". It matches the Rfam family "Bacterial small subunit ribosomal RNA", at positions 509 to 807 of the family's 1533-position model. The record is from RNAcentral.
CAGUAGCCGCGGUAAUACGUAGGGUGCGAGCGUUAAUCGGAAUUACUGGGCGUAAAGCGUGCGCAGGCGGUUGUGUAAGACAGGUGUGAAAUCCCCGGGCUUAACCUGGGAACUGCGCUUGUGACUGCACAGCUAGAGUAUGGCAGAGGGGGGUGGAAUUCCACGUGUAGCAGUGAAAUGCGUGGAGAUGUGGAGGAACACCGAUGGCGAAGGCAGCCCCCUGGGCCAAUACUGACGCUCAUGCACGAAAGCGUGGAGAGCAAACAGGAUUAGAUACCCCCGUAGUCCCUGUCUCUUAUAC